This 902-nucleotide long non-coding RNA is filed under the name Rattus norvegicus (Norway rat). RNAcentral's name for it is "long non-coding RNA NONRATT022758". The record is from RNAcentral. Lineage: Eukaryota; Metazoa; Chordata; Mammalia; Rodentia; Muridae.
CAGGGUCUUACUCUGUAGCCCUGGCUGGACCGGAACUCAUAGACCAAGCUGGCCAAAACUUACCGAGAUCAUCCGUCUGUGGUUGAUGGUGUUCCAUGCCCGGCUUGGUCAGAGUGUUUUGUCACAGCAACGGACAAAAUGAAACGAGGUCAGGUGGGACAAAGAUGCCACUUUGCCUCCUUAUUUCUGGUCCCUGGGCCAGCAAGAGAAACAAUGUCUACAAUUGUGGCGGCGUCACUGCCUGAUGUCCUGACUCACACCUGAAAUCCCAGCCUUCGGAAGACGGAGGCAGGAGGAUUAGGGAGACGAGUUUUACUUUAAGAGGUUUAAAAUGUUUUCAUGUGUAUUUUGUCUGUGUUGAGCAUGUGCGAUGUAUGUGUGGACAGGCAAUUGUGAGCUACCUCACAUGGAUGCUGGGAGACAAAUGCCACUUUGUUGCAAGAGGAGCAAGCGCUUUUAACUGCUGAGGCCUCUCUCCACCCACAAACCAUCGUUUUUAUUAUUGUUUUUAUUUCAUAUGUGUGUGUGCUCUGCCUGCACAUAUGUCCAAGCAGCACAUGCACGUCUGCUGCCCAUGUAGGCUAAAAGAGGCCAUCGGAUUUCCUGGAACUGGAGUUACAGACCGUGGCUGUGAGCUUCCAUGUGGACGCUGCGACACAAAUUUGGGUCCUCAGGAAGAGCAUCCAGUGCUCUUAACCACUCAGCCAUCUCUCCAGCCCUGGGAUCAGAAAGCAAUAUUAUUCUUGGCUCCAUAUUCAGUUUGAGGCCAGCUUGUCCUACAUGAGAUCCACUUUAGAACAAAAAUCAAAUAACACAAAGACAACGUUAAGAAAAAAAAUCAUGGGGUUGUGGAUUUAGCUCAGCGGUAGAGCGCUUGCCUAGCAAACGCAAGGCCCUGGGUU